This 301-nucleotide ribosomal RNA is filed under the name uncultured bacterium. RNAcentral describes it as "partial 16S ribosomal RNA". It matches the Rfam family "Bacterial small subunit ribosomal RNA", at positions 509 to 808 of the family's 1533-position model. The record is from RNAcentral.
CAGCAGCCGCGGGAAUACGUAGGUCCCGAGCGUUGUCCGGAUUUAUUGGGCGUAAAGCGAGCGCAGGCGGUUAGAUAAGUCUGAAGUUAAGGGCUGUGGCUUAACCAUAGUACGCUUUGGAAACUGUUUAACUUGAGUGCAAGAGGGGAGAGUGGAAUUCCAUGUGUAGCGGUGAAAUGCGUAGAUAUUGGGAGGAACACCGGCGGCGAAGGCGGCUUACUGGACGACAACUGACGUUGAGGCUCGAAGGCGUGGGUAGCAAACAGGAUUAGAUACCCCAGUAGUCCCUGUCUCUUAUACA